UUUCCGUAGGUGAACCUGCGGAAGGAUCAUUAAAAAUGAAGCCGGGAAACCGGUCCUUCUCACCCUUGAUUAUCUCAAUUUGUUGCUUUGGUGGGCCGCGCAAGCACCGGCUUCGGCUGGAUCGUGCCCGCCAGAGGACCACAACUCUGCAUUAUAUGUCGUCUGAGUACUAUAAAAUAGUUAAAACUUUCAACAACGGAUCUCUUGGUUCUG
Molecule: unclassified non-coding RNA, 213 nt
Filed under: plant metagenome
Description: partial contains small subunit ribosomal RNA, internal transcribed spacer 1, and 5.8S ribosomal RNA
Source: RNAcentral